GUGCGGCACUCCCUCAGCACUGACCCUCCGACAGUGUAGCACUCCCUCAGUACUGACCCUCCGACAGUGUACCUAUGAACCAAUGAUAGUGCAGGCUGAUGUGAAUCUAUUGUUCCCACAGUGAGUGAGGAGGAGGUCGAAGACCUGGUGGAUGAUGUGCAGGAUAUUCAUCUCUGAGCUACAGCCCACAACCGGCUCCAGACCUGAAGGUUACUGAGGUGGACCGUCUAACCAUCUCCCCUGCUGGACAUCGGCCGUACCUCUCUCCCGCUCCCUGAGUGACGUCCCCUCUUUGGGUGGGAUUCAAGGGGGGGAGGGUGGGACCGACAGUGAUCCAUCGAUGGCCUUGCAGUGGGCCGCAAUGGCGGUUGGACCAGACAACGUGGUGCUGCGAGCGGGAGCACGUUGACUGAGUCUCCGGUGUGAACCAGCUCAAUUCUCGACCAACCCCCCUCCCCAUCCCCAUUCGCCAUUUCCACCUGCGUUCAUUUCCUUGCUGUUGGUUCUCACCCUCUGCCCUGUCUGGGGGCGCCCGGGAGGAAGGGUCGACUCGGAGUCUGUGCGACCUUCGCCCCUUGUGGAGGUUUCCAGCUUGGCCAAGAGUUCGCAAACCCGACUCGCGUUCUUACGUCGUCCUUCCCAAAGGACUACAACCGGGUACCACUUACACGCCCCAACAUUUCUGCGCCUCUCCACCCAAUUUGUUUUCACUUUACGUCGGCCAUUUUGUUUGGUCCCCUUUAACCUGAGACAGGAGCCUGAGGUGUUCGGCCUAACAAAUCUUGGACCUGCGUUGCUGCCAACUUUUGUGAGCUCUCGCCUGUGUACAUUUUCUUUCGCUGAGACCCUCGGUGAGGGUGGGGGCUACGAAAUUACGUCGCAGCUUCGAGAAGCAUCGGACGCAUCACCCCUCCAGCCCUCGCGACAGGCCCGAGGUCGGGCCUCGUUGACAACUUUUAAUAAAGUUUCAAUGCCAUUUAA
Chiloscyllium plagiosum (whitespotted bambooshark) is the source of this 981-nucleotide non-coding RNA. NCBI's taxonomy places the organism in Eukaryota, Metazoa, Chordata, Chondrichthyes, Orectolobiformes, Hemiscylliidae. The record is from RefSeq and is a predicted model, not a curated record.